This 1390-nucleotide ribosomal RNA is filed under the name uncultured bacterium. RNAcentral's name for it is "bacterial SSU rRNA". It matches the Rfam family "Bacterial small subunit ribosomal RNA". The record is from RNAcentral.
AGAGUUUGAUCCUGGCUCAGGACGAACGCUGGCGGCGCGCCUAACACAUGCAAGUCGAGCGAUGCACCAUUCACGGAAUCUUUCGAGAUGAAGCGAAUGGGAAUUAGCGGCGGACGGGUGAGUAACACGUGAGUAACCUGCCUUUUACAAGGGGAUAGCCUCGGGAAACCGGGAUUAAUACCCUAUGACACUCCUCUUUCGCAUGAAAAGAGAAGUUAAAGCGAAUAAGCGGUAAAAGAUGGACUCGCGCCUGAUUAGCUAGUUGGUGGGGUAAGAGCCUACCAAGGCAACGAUCAGUAGCCGGCCUGAGAGGGUGAACGGCCACAUUGGAACUGAGACACGGUCCAAACUCCUACGGGAGGCAGCAGUGGGGAAUAUUGCACAAUGGAGGGAACUCUGAUGCAGCGACGCCGCGUGAGCGAAGAAGGCUUUCGAGUCGUAAAGCUCUGUCCUAUGGGAAGAUAGUGACGGUACCAUAGGAGGAAGCCCCGGCUAACUACGUGCCAGCAGCCGCGGUAAUACGUAGGGGGCGAGCGUUGUCCGGAAUUACUGGGCGUAAAGGGUUCGCAGGCGGCUAUGCAAGUCUGGUGUGAAAGACGGAGGCUCAACCUCCGCAAGCAUUGGAAACUGUAUGGCUUGAGUGAAGGAGAGGCAAGUGGAAUUCCUAGUGUAGCGGUGAAAUGCGUAGAUAUUAGGAGGAAUACCAGUGGCGAAGGCGACUUGCUGGACUUCAACUGACGCUGAGGAACGAAAGCGUGGGGAGCAAACAGGAUUAGAUACCCUGGUAGUCCACGCCGUAAACGAAGAGUGCUAGGUGUCGGGGGAGACCUCGGUGCCGCAGUUAACACAAUAAGCACUCCGCCUGGGGAGUACGUGCGCAAGCAUGAAACUCAAAGGAAUUGACGGGGACCCGCACAAGCAGCGGAGCAUGUGGUUUAAUUCGAAGCAACGCGAAGAACCUUACCAAGGCUUGACAUAUACGUGCAAAGAGUAGAGAUACUCUGUUCUCUUCGGAGACGCGUAUACAGGUGGUGCAUGGUUGUCGUCAGCUCGUGUCGUGAGAUGUUGGGUUAAGUCCCGCAACGAGCGCAACCCUUACCUUUAGUUGCCAGCGAGUCAAGUCGGGAACUCUAGAGGGACUGCCGAUGAUAAAUCGGAGGAAGGUGGGGAUGACGUCAAAUCAUCAUGCCCUAUAUGUCUUGGACUACACACGUGCUACAAUGGUCGGUACAGAGGGCAGCGAGGCCGCGAGGCCGAGCGAAUCGCCCAAAGCCGGUCCCAGUACGGAUUGGAGUCUGCAACUCGACUCCAUGAAGUUGGAAUCGCUAGUAAUCACGCAUCAGCAUGGCGUGGUGAAUUCGUUCCCGGGCCUUGUACACACCGCCCGUCA